This 452-nucleotide ribosomal RNA is filed under the name uncultured Rhodocyclaceae bacterium. RNAcentral describes it as "bacterial SSU rRNA". It matches the Rfam family "Bacterial small subunit ribosomal RNA", at positions 929 to 1382 of the family's 1533-position model. The record is from RNAcentral. Lineage: Bacteria; Pseudomonadati; Pseudomonadota; Betaproteobacteria; Rhodocyclales; Rhodocyclaceae.
GCGGUGGAUGACGUGGAUUAAUUCGAUGCAACGCGAAAACCUUACUACCCUUGACAUGUCCGGAAUCCCGAAGAGAUUUGGGAGUGCUCGCAAGAGAACCGGAACACAGGUGCUGCAUGGCUGUCGUCAGCUCGUGUCGUGAGAUGUUGGGUUAAGUCCCGCAACGAGCGCAACCCUCGUCAUUAGUUGCCAUCAUUUGGUUGGGCACUCUAAUGAGACUGCCGGUGACAAACCGGAGGAAGGUGGGGAUGACGUCAAGUCCUCAUGGCCCUUAUGGGUAGGGCUUCACACGUCAUACAAUGGUCGGUACAGAGGGUUGCCAACCCGCGAGGGGGAGCUAAUCCCACAAAGCCGAUCGUAGUCCGGAUCGCAGUCUGCAACUCGACUGCGUGAAGUCGGAAUCGCUAGUAAUCGUGGAUCAGCAUGUCACGGUGAAUACGUUCCCGGGUCUU